GACGAACGCUGGCGGCGUGCUUAACACAUGCAAGUCGAACGGACAGGCCCUGCUUUUGUGGGGUGCUCGAGUGGCGAACGGGUGAGUAACACGCGAGUAACCUGCCCUUGUCUUUGGGAUAACUCCAGGAAACUGGGGCUAAUACCGGAUAGGAGCUCUUGCUGCACGGUGGGGGUUGGAAAGUUUCGGCGGUUGGGGAUGGACUCGCGGCUUAUCAGCCUGUUGGUGGGGUAGUGGCUUACCAAGGCUGUGACGGGUAGCCGGCCUGAGAGGGUGACCGGCCACAUUAGGACUGAGAGACGGCGCAGACUGCAACGGGAGGCAGCAGUGGGGAGUAUUACACAGUAGGCGGAAGCCUGAUGCGGCAGCGCCGCGUGCGGGAUGACGGCCUUCGAGUUGUAAACCGCUGUCGACUGUAACGAAGCGUGAGUGACGGUAAUGGGUAAAGAAGCACCGGCUAACUACGUG
RNAcentral lists this ribosomal RNA (468 nucleotides) under uncultured bacterium. Its description in RNAcentral is "partial 16S ribosomal RNA". It matches the Rfam family "Bacterial small subunit ribosomal RNA", at positions 28 to 507 of the family's 1533-position model. The record is from RNAcentral.